AUGUCUGGUACACAAAUCCUUCAAAAGUCAGCCUUCACCCAAGAUCAUCCAACCUCCAACCUUAGCACUCCCUGUUCUUUCACAUCGACAUCAUGCCCAUUGUCUUGUCUUCACUCUGUAUUUUGCUCAGCCUUCUCUGUUUCAACACCUCAAUACCAGCCGCAGCACAAGCAAACAUGUCCGAGAUCGAUCGCCAUGCCCUCCUCUGCUUCAAGUCAGGCAUCAAUCCCUGAUUCACUAGGCACUAGCAGUUUUCUUAGCUAUGUCGACCUUGCAAACAACACACUUACCGGCAAUAUCCCUCUCUCAUUAGCCAGUAGCUCCUCACUCAGCACACUUAUACUGUCACGUAAUCGCCUCUCUGGAGAGAUCCCUUCUACUUUGUUUGGUAAUUCAUCCAAGCUUACCGUCGUUGAUCUCCAGAUGAAUUUUUUCACUGGUCCCAUCCCACAUUUCCAUAAGGUCACAACACUCAAAUUUCUUUGUCUGACAGACAACUUCCUCUCUGGGAGCAUACCUCCUUCAAUAGGAAAUUUUUCUUCCCUCGCUUCUAUAUCCCUCGUCCGAAAUAGGUUAUCGGGAUUAAUUCCAGAGACUUUGAGUCACAUUACAAAACUGCUGGAGCUUGAUCUAAGUUUCAACAGUUUAUCAGGGAGUGUCCCGUUGUCUUUUUACAACAUGACAUCACUCGAAUUCUUCAAUGUGGGCAGCAAUGCCCUUGUUGGACAGAUGCCAUCUCACAUUGGUUUCUCACUACCAAACCUCCAGUUCCUUAUCAUGGGAAGCAACAGGUUGGAGGGCCUGAUCCCUGCUUCACUAUCCAACAUGUUAAAUCUCCAAACACUUGAUCUUUCAAACAACUUGUUACAUGGCUCUGUGCCAUAUCUUGGUUCUUUGGCAAACUUGCAUCUGUUGGAUUUAGGAAUUAACUUGCUAGAAGCACAUGACUGGUCAUUCCUUACAUCUCUAGCAAAUUGCACCCAGCUGACAAAGUUGUCCUUGGAAGGGAAUCUUCUAAAUGGCAGCCUACCUAUAUCAAUUGUUAAUCUUUCCAGGAGGCUAGAACAUUUAUCGCUUGGGUCAAACCAAAUUUUGGGCUCCAUACCUGCUGAGAUUAGCAAAUUUGUUAAUCUCACUUCACUUGGGAUGGAGAGUAAUUUUCUUUCUGGAAGCAUACCUUCUACCAUCGGGAAGCUACAGAACUUAUACAUCCUGAAUCUAUCAAAGAACAAAUUAUCAGGUCAGAUCCCUCCCUCAGUGGGUGGCAUUGCUCAACUGGGCAAACUUUAUCUUGAUGAUAACAACUUGAGUGGAAACAUACCUGGUAGUUUAGGUCAGUGCAAGGGACUUCUUGAACUAAACUUGUCUCGGAACAAUCUUGACGGGUCAGUACCAGACGAACUGUUUGCUUAUCCUCCACUCUCCUUGGUUCUGGACUUCUCACACAACAAUCUCACAGGGGAACUACCAUUGGUAGUUGGUACACAUAGCAGUGGUGGUCCAGUAUCCCUUCACAUGGAAGGAAACAAGUUUCAUGGACAGAUUCCAGAAAGAUGGCAUCUACUAGUAUCAACCCAGCAGAUUAAUCUUUCUCAUAAUGACUUAUCCGGUGCCGUGCCUGAAUUCUUUGAGCGAUUUGAUAUGCUGAAGCAACUUGAUCUGUCUUACAAUAACUUGGAAGGGUCUGUUCCUACUAGUGGGAUCUUUAAGAAAUAUGCUGCAGUAGUUCUGGGUGGCAACAAGGGACUCUGUUUAAAUUCCUCCAAGUUGAUAAAAAUAAGAAAUUCCUUCAGGCCAGCAUUACCAGUUUGUCCUCGCAUCUCAGCUUUAGUGACUAAAUCAAAACACCACCUGUCAUUCCUGGCGACCUCGCUGCUAAUUGUACUACCAACACUCAGUAUUGGUUCCCUGGUGUUGUUAUGGUUUCUGCUCACUCUUUGGAAGAAAGGGUUGUUUUCGUCUUCACGAUGGGAUCUUGUGUCCAAGUUGUUUCCUAAUAGAAGAGAAGUGCCUACAGUCCCAUGCCAUGACGAGAAGAAGCUCAAGAGAGUGUCAUACGAGGACAUUCUUAAAGCUACCAACUGGUUUUCUUUGGUCCAUACUAUCAGCUCAACUUGUACUGGUUCAGUUUAUGUUGGUAGGUUCAAGUCCGACAAGAGCCUAGUUGCCAUCAAAGUAUUCAACUUGAAUGAACCUGGUGGAUACAAUAGUUACCUUAUUGAGUGUGAAGUGCUACGAAGCACCCGCCAUAGAAAUAUAAUGCGACCUGUGACCCUAUGCUCAACACUGGAUUCACAAAACCAUGAGUUCAAAGCACUAAUCUUCGAGUUCAUGGUUAAUGGCAGCCUAGAGAAAUGGUUGCAUUCUGACCAACACAAUGGAAUCGCAGAUAAAGGGCUAAGCUUUGCCCACAGGAUAUGCAUAGCAGCAGAUGUGGCUUCUGCUCUUGAUUAUGCCCACAACGAACUGACGCCUCCUCUGAUCCAUUGUGAUUUGAAGCCAAACAAUGUCCUUUUGGAUGAUGACAUGACUGCACGGCUCAGUGACUUUGGCUCAGGGAAGUUUCUAUCACCAGGUCUGCUAAUUCCUAAAAGCCUGGAUGAUGUUGGAGGGACAAUUGGAUAUGUGGCACCUGAGUAUGGAAUGGGUUGCGAGAUCUCCGUAGCCGACGAUGUGUAUAGUUUUGGAGUGCUUCUACUGGAAUUGCUUACUGGAAAACGACCUACUGAUGAUAUGUUUGUGGAUGGACUUAGCCUUUGUAAGUUCUGUGAAUCUAUGUUCCCAGACAGAGUUGCAGAGAUUCUUGAUCCUCAUAUGGCACAUGAGGAGCAUCAAGGGUGCGCAGAAGCGUGGAUGCAGAGAUAUAUUGUCCCCUUGGUUGCCCUUGGGCUGUCAUGUACCUUGGAAUCUCCGAAGGAUAGGCCCGGAAUGAAAGAUGUUUGUGCAAAACUUUCUGAUAUUAGAGCCUCUUUUCUGGAACUGUCAUGA
Molecule: ribosomal RNA, 2988 nt
Filed under: Triticum aestivum (bread wheat)
Lineage: Eukaryota; Viridiplantae; Streptophyta; Magnoliopsida; Poales; Poaceae
Description: partial small subunit ribosomal RNA
Source: RNAcentral